This is a long non-coding RNA of Magnolia sinica, 958 nucleotides long. RefSeq lists it as uncharacterized. The record is from RefSeq and is a predicted model, not a curated record. The transcript is spliced from 3 exons. Lineage: Eukaryota; Viridiplantae; Streptophyta; Magnoliopsida; Magnoliales; Magnoliaceae.
UGAAAAAGAUACGUACAAAAGCAAUCAUUUUGAACUUGAUGGACAAAGUUGGAGGAUGUCUCUGUAAUCAAACUUUGUGGAAUGCCCAUUUUCUCUGUGCAUCAAUAUCAUGAAUUUAAAUCUAAAUUGAGAACUAAAUUGUCUGCCAUCAUUUUCAUUGUCGAAGUCUUCAAGAACUUGGUUCCCCAUCCCUUCUCUCCUUGGGGGCACUCUUAAGAUAGGGAAGCUGUGCAAAACGUGAGAGAGGGUUGGGGAUUAAACUUCCAUAUAGAGAGCCUCUUAAGAACCCUGCAUCCAUCAAAAGUCCUCUAUUCUCAAGUAUCCACACUUGCUAUGUUAGGAUUCUACUACAUGUUGAAAGUGAAAAUUGUGCCAGCCAUAUCAUGUAUGAUCACAUCAUAAGUGGGUCCCAUUGGCAUGCUCAUCACCUAAGAUCCAAUGGCUAGUUCGAUCUGGUUUAAUUAAGACUAUUGAUCUCUGAUGGCCCACUAGACAAAAAUCAAGUAGCUUCUUGUCAUCUCACUGACAAUGAUUUUUUGUCGAUUAUCAUAAUUCAUGGUUAGAUUAGUCCAUUCACCACAUGGUAGGGAGAUUUCAGUAUUUUGAUUGUAAAUUUCAUCUUGAGAGCUACAUGUUAUCUCAUUGGACAAGGGAUACAUGGCACCUGAAUAUGCAAUCCAUGGGCAAUUAUCCGAGAAGGUUGACACAUACAGCUAUGGGAUGGUUGUGCCGGAAAUUGUAAGCGGUCGGAGGAGUAAUGACAUAAAGAUCGAACCCAUCACUCAAUAUCUUCUCGAAUGGUGUGACUUGCAUCCUAAUAUGGGCCACGUAUAAUCAGAAUCCUUCCUGUCCUCAGUGCAAGCAUCUUUUUCAGUUUCCCAGUGUUCAUCGAUCACUAGAUGGAAGCUCCCAUUGAAUCAGGAUAUCAUGGGGAAAGCGAGGGAUAGGGUAAGGAUUU